This 583-nucleotide ribosomal RNA is filed under the name uncultured bacterium. Its description in RNAcentral is "bacterial SSU rRNA". It matches the Rfam family "Bacterial small subunit ribosomal RNA", at positions 338 to 916 of the family's 1533-position model. The record is from RNAcentral.
CCUACGGGAGGCAGCAGUGGGGAAUUUUGGACAAUGGGCGCAAGCCUGAUCCAGCAAUGCCGCGUGAGUGAAGAAGGCCUUCGGGUUGUAAAGCUCUUUUGUCAGGGGAGAAACGGCUCCAGCUAAUAUCUGGGGCUAAUGACGGUACCUGAAGAAUAAGCACCGGCUAACUACGUGCCAGCAGCCGCGGUAAUACGUAGGGUGCAAGCGUUAAUCGGAAUUACUGGGCGUAAAGCGUGCGCAGGCGGUUUUGUAAGUCUGUCGUGAAAGCCCCGGGCUCAACCUGGGAAUUGCGAUGGAGACUGCAAGGCUUGAAUCUGGCAGAGGGGGGUAGAAUUCCACGUGUAGCAGUGAAAUGCGUAGAGAUGUGGAGGAACACCGAUGGCGAAGGCAGCCCCCUGGGUCAAGAUUGACGCUCAUGCACGAAAGCGUGGGGAGCAAACAGGAUUAGAUACCCUGGUAGUCCACGCCCUAAACGAUGUCUACUAGUUGUCGGGUUUUAAUUAACUUGGUAACGCAGCUAACGCGUGAAGUAGACCGCCUGGGGAUACGGUCGCAAGAUUAAAACUUAAUGAAUUGACGG